RNAcentral lists this unclassified non-coding RNA (642 nucleotides) under Hevea brasiliensis (rubber tree). The record is from RNAcentral. Lineage: Eukaryota; Viridiplantae; Streptophyta; Magnoliopsida; Malpighiales; Euphorbiaceae.
CAAAGAACUUCAAUCCAAUGGCCUACAACCGAAAGGAAAAAUUUAUUUACUUGGUGAGUUUGAACAAGAGACACAGAGGAGAAAGAGGCAUUUGAAUCUCAGCAGAUGUUAAAAGUAACAUACAUCUUAAUCAGCAAUCAAAUUUGGCCUAACUUAUUACCUCUCUCUAAGUGAAGACAGAAAAAUUUCAGUUAUGAGAGAGAGAGAGAACCAUAUCACCUCAAUAUGGAUGCCACCUUGAAAGAGAAGUGAUGCCUUUUUUUUUAAAAAAAAAAAGAGAAAAAAAAUUUUCUUCAAUUUCUACCAGAAAGAUUGAAACUUUGAGACCUAUACUAACCCUACAGGAAGUGAAGCACAGUCUGUUGAGAAUGUAAAUGCCAACACAAUCCAUAGACUUUCGCAUCCAUAGAUUUUGGCAUCUGAAUGAGAAAACAAGCAAACCGUAGUUUUGGCAUCAUAUUGAGAACAAAACUUGCAUGCGGAACUUGCUAUGCAGAUGAGUUUCAUCAGCCUUGGGAUAAGAAGUCAAGAAAGCAGACACAGUGGCUAAGAUCGGAGUAAGGCAAAUGGUGGUAGCAGUGGAUGGAUGGCAUCUGAAUGAGAAAAUAAGAAAACUGUAGUUUUGGCAUCAUAUUGAGAACA